RNAcentral lists this transfer RNA (68 nucleotides) under Ictidomys tridecemlineatus (thirteen-lined ground squirrel). RNAcentral's name for it is "Spermophilus tridecemlineatus (thirteen-lined ground squirrel) tRNA". It matches the Rfam family "tRNA". Rfam says of the family: Transfer RNA (tRNA) molecules are approximately 80 nucleotides in length. Their secondary structure includes four short double-helical elements and three loops (D, anti-codon, and T loops). Lineage: Eukaryota; Metazoa; Chordata; Mammalia; Rodentia; Sciuridae. The record is from Rfam by way of RNAcentral.
GGGGCUGUAGCUCAGUGGUAGAGCACUCACCUAGCAUGUGUGAGACCUAGGUUCGAUCCUCAGCACCA